This 242-nucleotide unclassified non-coding RNA is filed under the name uncultured Helotiales. RNAcentral describes it as "sequence contains 5.8S rRNA gene". The stretch from base 1 to 53 matches the Rfam family "5.8S ribosomal RNA", at positions 102 to 154 of the family's 154-position model. The record is from RNAcentral. Lineage: Eukaryota; Fungi; Ascomycota; Leotiomycetes; Helotiales.
GAACGCACAUUGCGCCCUCUGGUAUUCCGGAGGGCAUGCCUGUUCGAGCGUCAUUACAACCCUCAAGCUCUGCUUGGUAUUGGGCCUCACCGGCAACGGUGUGCCCUAAAAUCAGUGGCGGUGCCAUCUGGCUCUAAGCGUAGUAAAUCUCUCGCUCUCGGUGCCCGGUGGACGCUUGCCAGCAACCCCCAAUUUUUUACAGGUUGACCUCGGAUCAGGUAGGGAUACCCGCUGAACUUAAG